This 510-nucleotide ribosomal RNA is filed under the name uncultured bacterium. RNAcentral's name for it is "bacterial SSU rRNA". It matches the Rfam family "Bacterial small subunit ribosomal RNA", at positions 34 to 518 of the family's 1533-position model. The record is from RNAcentral.
CGCUGGCGGCGUGCCUAAUACAUGCAAGUCGAACGGUCUUUCUAUGGAAGCUUGCUUCCACUGAGAAGAUAGUGGCGAACGGGUGAGUAACACGUGGGUAACCUGCCCAUAAGAGGGGGAUAACAUCCGGAAACGGGUGCUAAUACCGCAUAGUUUUCUUGAUUGCAUGAUUGAGAAGGAAAGACGGCCUUUGUGCUGUCGCUUAUGGAUGGACCCGCGGCGUAUUAGUUAGUUGGUGAGGUAACGGCUCACCAAGACGAUGAUACGUAGCCGACCUGAGAGGGUGAUCGGCCACAUUGGGACUGAGACACGGCCCAAACUCCUACGGGAGGCAGCAGUAGGGAAUCUUCCGCAAUGGACGAAAGUCUGACGGAGCAACGCCGCGUGAGUGAAGAAAGGUUUUCGGAUCGUAAAACUCUGUUGUCAGAGAAGAACAAGUUGGAGAGUAACUGCUCCAGCCUUGACGGUAUCUGACCAGAAAGCCACGGCUAACUACGUGCCAGCCGCGGC